CGGAGAGCGUCAAGGUGUACGGUUCAGAUCGUCCUGCUAUUACCUUUAAAUAUAAUAAGCUUCUUCCUAAUGGAGUUUGGUAUGGAUUUAAUCACUGCCGUAAGAUCAUGUAGCUGAUCUGCCGUAGAAUUCCACUAUCCAUGAAAUUGAUGUAUUUAAAAGAAGAUUUAAUCUCUGUUUUGUUUCCUUCCAGAGAUUAAUUUAUCGCCAAAUAAAGGUAUUUUUUUAUUUCUUGCUGUUACAAUUUUAGCCUUUAGCUUUUCUUUGCAGAUGAACUUCAUCAGAUGCGUUGUAUCCAUAAAUGGGGAUUUUGAUUCUCCCUAUUAUAAUUUCCUUCCCCGCCCGCAUCUAUGUAAUAAAAAAAGAAAAUAUGUGUGUUUAUGUUUAGUAGGAAUAACCAAAUUUGAUAACAAUUUCCAGCUGACCCUAAUUUUAAGUUAGAUCCGCAUUUUCCUUUUUUCAUAGUAAUCAUUGUCAUCUUGGUCGUCGUUCGGUUGAGUUUGAUUUUCAACACGACACAUGACCUUCAAAGUAUAGUAAGAAUAAAAAUGAGUUGUUUUUCUAACUAAAAAAAUAGGCUCCGCAUAUAAAGCCCUUCCAUCCUAAUUCUUUUACUUGAUAUUUUUCAUUUAUAUUUGUCAAUACUCCUGCUGUUACGCUUGAAUUCAAAGAAAUAAAUUAUUAAAAAUUAAUAGAGAGGAAGAGAUAAAAGUUUAAAAUCUGAGAGAUACACCCGGGCCUCCUAAUCGGACUUUUAUGACCUAAAUGAAUUGGAAGAUGUUCUAUCACAUAGUAAAAAAAUUCCAGGUGGAAGAAUUAUGAGACUCCAAAUUGUUAGUGAUUAUACAAUGUAUAAUUAAUCAAUUAAAAAAAGAAAAUGUAGCUGUCUAUAUAUUUGGACCCUUGAUUAAUUAACUACGUGUGUGGGGAAUUCACUGACACAUGUCUAGUGAUUGGUGUUAAAAGAGUAAUCAUAUAUUGGGUGUGCAUUGGUGGUUCAAUUUUAUUUGUUAUAAGUUUGAUUUAUUAAUUUUAUGUUUAUAAAUAUGCUAAACUAAUAAGUAAUUAAAUCAAUAUGAUAUUUUUUUUUAUCAAUUUACGAUUUAUCAAUUUUAGUUCUUGACCUUCGAUUUUUGAUUUAACUAGUAAGAAAAUGCUUAUAAAAUAAAUAUGACUUCUUGAUUUGACGUGAUAAGAAAAUAAUGUAACUUUACCAAACGCUCAUAAAAUAGAAACAAUAAUAACUAACAUGAAAAGAGUUAUACAAGUGCAAUACAAAGAGAAAUUAAAAGGAAUAGAGUUCUUACUUUAGAUUUUAACGCUUGAUAUAAUAUGAAAUUGUGAACUCAAAAUAAUUGUGAAUGGAAACUUAGAGGGAACAGUAGUAACCAGUAAGGUACUUGAAUUAAUAUUUAAUAUUUAUGUAUAAAUUAAUAUAGUCUUAAUGAGUUAUCGAUUUACCCAAUAAUCUAAUACUAAAAAUUAAAAUCGAAUCGAUAACCCAAUAAUUUUUUUAAAAAAAAUCAUUAAAGCCCCAUUAACCCAAUAAUAAUAAAUCAAUAACAUUUUUUUAUUGAAUUUAUCGAUCAAUUUGAUUUAUGCACAACCCUAAUUAAUUAGGUAACAUCCCUUGAUUGGCAUAAAUUUAUAAAAAUAAAGAAUUUUAUUUGAAUUCAUGUGUGACUAUAAAUUAUUUUAUUAUGAUAAAAGAGAAAUUUUAAAAUUUAAAUUAUUUUCAAUUAGAAAGUAUAAUAUUUGGUGGGUUAGAAUUUCAUACUACACUCUUCAUCACUUUUUACUUGUCAAAUUUUGAUUCGACACACUUAUUAAGAAAAUAAUGAUUAAUAUAAGGGAAAAUUGUAUGAAAUAACAAACUAUUAAUUCAAAUUAAAUGUUAUAACCAUAGUUUAUUUUAAUUGUAAUUUGCAGCAAACAUCCCCUUUUUUUGUCAAAUAAUUCGGUAAACAAUUAGCCAUUUUCGAUAUACAAUUAGCCAUUUUAUACAUUCGGUAUAAAAUGUAUAAAAUGCGUUCGUGUUUGUAUAAAGUGAGAAAAAAGUGUAUAUACAAAUACAUAUAUUUUUGUCAUAUACACUUAUAAUAAUACAAAUACAGAUCUUAUUAUACAAAUUACAAUGUACAAAUGAAUUUAUACAAAAUUGAACAAUAUUUGUAUAAAAUUGAAUGUUUGUAGUGAAUUAUACAAAUCGAAAGCUUCAUAACAAACAUAAAAUUUGUUAUAGAGCGCAAUUAUGCAAACUAUAGCUAUAACAUACAAAUAUGAAUUUUAUGUUUGCUAUAUGUGAAAGUUGCUCAUAAUAUAACAAGUUUAAAAUUUUAUUCCUAUUAAUUGACAGAGUACCAAACAGAUUUAUUCACAUUUUUUCAAAGACAUUAACUCAAUGUUAAUAAAUUAAAGGUAUAAUAGCAAAAAAAUUGUUCUUUCUUGAUUUAUAAAAAAUGACAAAUAAAAUGAGAAGUUAGAUUAAAAAAUAUCUGACAAGUAAAUAAGAGUGGAGGGAGUACGAAAUUACAUGGUUAAGCAUAUAUAUAGUAGUUAUUAGUCAUCAUAGCUAUAAUUUUAGUUAGUUACCAUUCGCAAUCAACAUUCAACGAUAAUUAUGUGGGUUGGAGUUUCGAAUUUGUAUGAUUCAUACGUGUGUAUAAUUUGAAACUUGUAUAACUUUUGUAUAAUAUAAUUUUGUAUAACUGUUUAAAGUUUCGAUGUUUGUGUUUGUAUAAAUUUGUUAUUUUGAGUUUAUACAAAAACAACUCAAUUAUUCAAAUAUACCCGCGAAUUAUACAAACAAGACAAGUAAAAUUAUGGCUACAACACGUAAAUAUACAAACUAUAGCUAUAGAACAUAAUUAAAUUUACUAUAAUUGCUAUUUACGAAAUUUCCAAAUUACGUAUAGAGUUCAAAUCCAAUGGAGUAGUAGUUUAUAGAAUGUAGGACCAAAUUCAUGUAGCUGAUCUGCCGUAGAAUUCCACUAUCGAUGAAAUUUGUAUUUUAAUUGAUGUAUUUAAAAGAAGAUUUAAUCUCUGUUUUGUUUGCUUCCAGAGAUUAAUAUAUCGCCAAAUAAAGGUAUUUUUGAUUUCUCAGGUACCUUGCUGUUACAAUUUUAGCCUUUAGCUUUUCUUUGCAGAUGAACUUCAUCAGAUGUGUUGUAUCCAUAAAUGGGAUUUUGAUUCUCCCUACUAUAAUUUCCUUCACCGCAUCGACAACGUAUUGUUUUUUUUAUGUAGUAAGUAGGAAUAACCAAAUUUGAUAACAAUUUCCAGCUGACCCUGAUUUUAUGUUAGAUCCGCAUUUUCCUUUUUUCAUCUUGGUCGUCGUUCGGUUGAGUUUGUUUUUCAACACGACACAUGACCUUCAAAGUAGUAACUAGUAAGAAUAAAAAUGAGUUGUUUCUAACUAAAAUAGGCCCCAAGGCCUAGCUCAAGUGGCAAAAAGGUGGAGGAUUUGUGGCUUA
This 3473-nucleotide long non-coding RNA is filed under the name Solanum tuberosum (potato). Its description in RNAcentral is "long non-coding RNA (STUB_LNC002355)". Lineage: Eukaryota; Viridiplantae; Streptophyta; Magnoliopsida; Solanales; Solanaceae. The record is from RNAcentral.